This 206-nucleotide unclassified non-coding RNA is filed under the name uncultured Glomus. Its description in RNAcentral is "partial internal transcribed spacer 2". The record is from RNAcentral. Lineage: Eukaryota; Fungi; Glomeromycota; Glomeromycetes; Glomerales; Glomeraceae.
UAAAUAAAUUCGGCUUCGUUGCUGUGUUUCGCGGCAACGUUUUUAGUCGGAAUUUGGGUCAUCUUAAACCGAAAGGUCUUAAGCGACUUAAAAAUUUUUUUUACGAUCCCACGAACGUUUCUAAGAUCUUCUUACACGUUCAAGGUGUCGAAUACCCUACUAGUCGUGGCCGUCGUAUCGGAUCGCGUCCAUAAUAUUUAUUCUUU